RNAcentral lists this ribosomal RNA (908 nucleotides) under Ostorhinchus apogonoides (short-tooth cardinal). Its description in RNAcentral is "partial 16S rRNA". The stretch from base 192 to 908 matches the Rfam family "Bacterial large subunit ribosomal RNA", at positions 566 to 1719 of the family's 2925-position model. Lineage: Eukaryota; Metazoa; Chordata; Actinopteri; Kurtiformes; Apogonidae. The record is from RNAcentral.
AGCCCAUUAGCUAGCUCACACUCUAAAAUCCAACAAUCCAUUAUUUAUAACCCCUAAUUAAGCCUUACGUGUUUAAGACCAAACCAUUUUUCCCCCCUAGUAUGGGCGACAGAAAAGGAAGAAUCGAAGCGACAGAAACAGUACCGCAAGGGAACGCUGAAAGAGAAAUGAAAUAAAUCAGUAAAGCACAGAAAAGCAGAGUUUAACCCUCGUACCUUUUGCAUCAUGAUUUAGCAAGUAAACAUCAAGCAAAGAGGACUUUAGUUUGAUACCCCGAAACCAAGUGAGCUACUUCAAGACAGCCUUUAAGGGCGCACCCGUCUCUGUGGCAAAAGAGUGGGAAGAUCUUUGAGUAGAGGUGACAGACCUACCGAACUUGGUUAUAGCUGGUUGCCCAGGAAGUGAAUAGGAGUUCAGCCUUUUGCCCUCUUUCCACACAUGCCGGUUACACCCAAAGCAUUUAAGUAGGACAAAAGAGUUAGUCAAAGGGGGUACAGCCCCUUUGAAAAAGAUACAACUUUACCAGAAGGGUUAAGAUCAUACCACUCCCUAAGGGAACGUGUUCUAGUUGGCCUAAGAGCAGCCACCUACACAGAAAGCGUUAAAGCUCAAACACCUCCCCCGCCCCUAUUAUCCGGACCAUCCCAAUCUUACCCCCCUAAACAUACUGAGCCUUCCCAUACCCCCUAUGGGAGAGAUUAUGCUAAUAUGAGUAAUAAGAGAUCUUGCAUUUCUCCCUGCACAAGUGUAUAUCGGAACGAACUAACACCGACAAUUAACGGCCCCAAAACAGAGGGAACUGAAACAUUAUGGCUAGGCCACUAGGAAACCAUCCACCCCGCCCGACCGUUGACCUUACACCAGAGUGCAUACAAGGAAAGACUAAAAGAAAAAGAAGGAACUCGGCA